This 326-nucleotide ribosomal RNA is filed under the name uncultured eukaryote. RNAcentral's name for it is "partial 18S ribosomal RNA". It matches the Rfam family "Eukaryotic small subunit ribosomal RNA", at positions 1470 to 1796 of the family's 1831-position model. The record is from RNAcentral.
CCCUUAGAUGUUCUGGGCCGCACGCGCGCUACACUGAUGAAUUCAACGAGCACUAACCUGUGCCGAAAGGUUCGGGUAAUCUUGUGAAAUUUCAUCGUGAUGGGGAUUGAUUAUUGCAAUUUUUAAUCAUAAACGAGGAAUGCCUAGUAAGCGUGGGUCAUCAGCUCACGUUGAUUACGUCCCUGCUCUUUGUACACACCGCCCGUCGCUCCUACCGAUUGAAUGUGCCAGUGAAAAGUUAGGAUUGGGCGUGGGAGACGGCAACGUAUUCCACAUCCGAGAAAAUCUUUAAACUUUCCCAUUUAGAGGAAGGAGAAGUCGUAACA